Long non-coding RNA from Micropterus dolomieu (smallmouth bass), 1959 nucleotides. RefSeq lists it as uncharacterized. The record is from RefSeq and is a predicted model, not a curated record. The transcript has 2 exons. Lineage: Eukaryota; Metazoa; Chordata; Actinopteri; Centrarchiformes; Centrarchidae.
UGUCAUACUGUCUUUGUUCUACAGAUGAGACAGAGUUGGUUGCAGAGGAACGUUUCCCGUUGGUGACCCUUCUCCAAAGAACAUCUAUACAUGGUCUUGCUAAGACUCCUAGGAUAAAGGCUAUCAGAAAUGUGAUGAAAAUAGACAGACACACAGCCAGAGCCAAGUUAGACUGGUUAGCUCUCUGAUUCCUUUCUUGACCUAUCCUAUUUAGGGUGUCUUGUGGGAUUAUUUGUUGGCUGGUUCUGGGUAAACUUCUAGUUUUUCUUCUUGCACCUCCUAUUUGACUGAUCUGGAGGUUAAAAACAGACACAACUUCGUGAUCUUCAGACACACACACAUAUAGUCCUGUGUCUCUCUCUGUGACGUCACUGAUGAGCAGACCAGCCUGAGGCUGGCUCACAGAUGCUUGACCACUGGGUGUCCACCACACCGAAUCUACAAAAAAAAAGAAGACAACAUUAGCAUGCAGUUGGACUGACCUACAUUGUUAUAUAUGCAUUAAGUGACUUGACAAUUUUUUGACUGUGUUACCUAGUGUAGAGCAAGACAGCAGUAUCUCAGAGCCACUAUAGACCGUCACAUCUUGGUGGAUCUCUGGCCUGUAUUCGGUACUGAAACAGUUAAGGUCAUUGUCCUCCAACUGUAGCAGGUCUCUGCCAGAGAGGAUGGAGGGGGAGGCACACACCACGCUCCAGGCCUGCAGGCCUCUGCUGCUGUCAUAGGCCAUCCGCCUUUUUACACUGUGCAUGCUGCAAUCACACUGCCACCUGUUCCCAACCAGCCUAACAUCAGCCCCAAUGUUACGCAGAGAAAGGUACAUCAAAGGAUGGAGGCUGGUCAACAUGUUAAAGCUCAGAUCAAUAACCUUUGAGGGGAACACAAUAAGGACAUACAGCAGAUAUGUAAGAGACAUGCAAUUUGAUUGCAAAAACAAUUAAAUUCAGUAUUUGCUAAUAAAAAAAAAUUAAAAGCUUUUUUAAAUAAUCUUUUAAUUAACUUUUUCUGGAAAUGAACAAAGAAUGUGUGGCAUCACUGAGUUUAUUUUUAGAAUGCUGGAUAUUCUGUGCAUGUUUUCAAUAAGUUUGAUCAGUGUUACCCGGAGCUGGGCUAAAUCCUGGAACAUCUGUGGAUGGAGACUUGUGAUGAGGUUAUGUUGUAGGUGUAGCUCUUUUAGCUGUCGAAGGUGGGCAAGGUCUGCUGGUUUUAGUGUUGAGAUCUUGUUGAAGGAGAGCUGCAGAACCUGUAAGGACUCACUACCUUCCAGCCCUGCAUGACAGAAAACCAGAGCUGUAAUUAGAACAAUAACCAUGGUGGCGCGGCUCCUGAAGGGAGCAAGGAAUGCACUGUUACAGGUUUUCAGUUGUCUUCUCAGUGAUGUAAGCUACUGCUGUACCUUCAUUGUGAUUUGAAAGGUGAAGUACUGUUUUCAGCUGACGUAUUUGUUUGCUGUACUGCAGUAUUUUCAAAGCUGAGAUUAAAUAAUGUAAACUACUGGCCUCUCUCUCUCUCUCUCCCUGUUUCUGGACUUCUAGAUAGUGAAUAGUGUAAAAUGUCAAAAUCAAUGAACACCCUUUCCCUGGAAUAUGAAUCCAAAUUCUGCUUCUGGCUUAUUUUCACUAUGAACACCCACACAAUAAUGACCAGAGACAAUCUCCCUGAGACUGCUGGGCUGAAGUAAGGCUCCAUGGGUCUGCGCUUCAUUAGAGAGGCACUGAAGGUUCCGUGAGCUGAAUACCAAACAGGAAAGAAGUGUAUGACUGUCAACACAGCUCUUCUUGCUAAAUGUCUUUUUAAAGGAACCAUGGUUGAAUGUAUUUCUUUGAAACAUACACAUAUGUUCAACCAAGCAGAAGGAAUUCUAUAAAAUAAUAUGGUGCAGGGGAAAAUGCUAAAGUUGUACUGCAUGUUUGCACCUUUCUCUGAGCCACUGGAAUGUCAAUAAAAACUGUGCUGGCU